RNAcentral lists this ribosomal RNA (857 nucleotides) under uncultured bacterium. RNAcentral describes it as "SSU rRNA". It matches the Rfam family "Bacterial small subunit ribosomal RNA", at positions 524 to 1381 of the family's 1533-position model. The record is from RNAcentral.
UACGGGAGUGGCAAGCGUUAUCCGGAAUUAUUGGGCGUAAAGCGUCCGCAGGCGGCCUCGUAAGUCUGUCGUUAAAGCGUGGAGCUUAACUCCAUUUCAGCGAUGGAAACUGUGAGGCUUGAGUGUGGUAGGGGCAGAGGGAAUUCCCGGUGUAGCGGUGAAAUGCGUAGAUAUCGGGAAGAACACCAGUGGCGAAGGCGCUCUGCUGGGCCAUAACUGACGCUCAUGGACGAAAGCCAGGGGAGCGAAAGGGAUUAGAUACCCCUGUAGUCCUGGCCGUAAACGAUGAACACUAGGUGUCGGGGGAAUCGACCCCCUCGGUGUCGUAGCCAACGCGUUAAGUGUUCCGCCUGGGGAGUACGCACGCAAGUGUGAAACUCAAAGGAAUUGACGGGGGCCCGCACAAGCGGUGGAGUAUGUGGUUUAAUUCGAUGCAACGCGAAGAACCUUACCAGGGUUUGACAUCCUGCGAAUCUCUUGGAAACGAGAGAGUGCCUUCGGGAACGCAGUGACAGGUGGUGCAUGGCUGUCGUCAGCUCGUGUCGUGAGAUGUUGGGUUAAGUCCCGCAACGAGCGCAACCCACGUCGUUAGUUGCCAGCAUUUAGUUGGGCACUCUAGCGAGACCGCCGGUGAUAAACCGGAGGAAGGUGUGGAUGACGUCAAGUCAUCAUGCCCCUUACAUCCUGGGCUACACACGUACUACAAUGCUACGGACAAAGGGCAGCAAACUCGCGAGAGCUAGCAAAUCCCAUAAACCGUGGCUCAGUUCAGAUCGUAGGCUGCAACUCGCCUACGUGAAGGAGGAAUCGCUAGUAAUCGCAGGUCAGCAUACUGCGGUGAAUACGUUCCCGGGCCU